AUGUAUACUAGCAAAGAAAUUGUCCAACUGAAUUUACCAUAGAAGAAAUACUGCAUUGCAUCUGUGGUACUUCCUGGCCUUGAAAUUGAUUUUGCAAGGUAUAUUUGUUCCGUUUGGAAAUUUUUGGUAGGGAAAUCAGACAGACUUCAGUUACUUGUGUGGUCACAUGAAUUAUAUCCUUGUGCUGUCACUUUUCAUGUUUUUCUAUGUAUACAUGAUUGGACCUCUAGGUUUAAGGAUGUUUUUUGCUGCUCUGCCAUGUGUAGGAUAUCCAAACAAGGCAAAAGAUGGGCCACACAAUGAAGAUCGCGUUCCUUGAAAAUCAGUCCAUUCAGAAUAUUCAGGGGAACCCCACUUAAAAACAGUUAAAACUUCUGCUAUGAAACACUGUGUUAUGAUAUAUCAGUAAGAUUGUCAUAAAAAGCCUGAUUUUCAUAUAGCGGCACAUACAUGGUGGACCAAUUGACAGCGAAGGCCUUUUAAACAUGCUAGAUUGGAAAGUUUUAUGAGAGGCUUGAGCAAAGUGAAGUAUUGUUUAUUUAGAAAUGUGAAUAUAGGAUGCAUUGUAUGAUUUGAUUGCUAUUUGUAAUAAAUGCAUCGUUUUUUUAUU
This is a long non-coding RNA of Magnolia sinica, 610 nucleotides long. RefSeq lists it as uncharacterized. The transcript has 3 exons. NCBI's taxonomy places the organism in Eukaryota, Viridiplantae, Streptophyta, Magnoliopsida, Magnoliales, Magnoliaceae. The record is from RefSeq and is a predicted model, not a curated record.